UUUUCAUAAUUAGUUCUUACUUAUAUAUCGUCGUAAUAGGUCGACAGUUUCUACCCGAUACCGGAAUAUCGGACUAUAGGUAAAAAAGUGUUUGUU
RNAcentral lists this non-coding RNA (96 nucleotides) under Enterococcus saccharolyticus. RNAcentral's name for it is "Guanine sequence". It matches the Rfam family "Purine riboswitch aptamer". Rfam says of the family: Riboswitches are metabolite binding domains within certain messenger RNAs that serve as precision sensors for their corresponding targets. Allosteric rearrangement of mRNA structure is mediated by ligand binding, and this results in modulation of gene expression. RNAcentral also lists the same sequence under 1 other name. Lineage: Bacteria; Bacillati; Bacillota; Bacilli; Lactobacillales; Enterococcaceae. The record is from RNAcentral.